GUGUGUAUAUUGGAUGCAGUGUGAAUGCAUUGAGGGGCAGUGUAUAGGAAUUUGACAGUUUGGAGAGGGCAGUAUGUAGGAAGGUGACAGUGUGUAGGAAGAGGACAUUAUAGGGGGGCAGGGUGUUAGGAUGACAGUGUGGGGAGCAGAAUGACCGUAUGUGCAUUAGUAAGGGCAUGUUGUCUUACAUACACUCAUUGACGGUCAUUGUCUCACACACCGUUUAACCAACACACACGUUCACUGACACGAACACAC
Non-coding RNA from Pelobates cultripes (western spadefoot toad), 258 nucleotides. The record is from the annotation of a GenBank genome assembly. Lineage: Eukaryota; Metazoa; Chordata; Amphibia; Anura; Pelobatidae.